CAGUAGCCGCGGUAAUACGAAGGGUGCAAGCGUUACUCGGAAUUACUGGGCGUAAAGCGUGCGUAGGUGGUGGUUUAAGUCCGUUGUGAAAGUCCUGGGCUCAACCUGGGAAUUGCAGUGGAUACUGGGUCACUAGAGUGUGGUAGAGGAUAGUGGAAUUUCCGGUGUAGCAGUGAAAUGCGUAGAGAUCGGAAGGAACAUCUGUGGCGAAGGCGACUAUCUGGGCCAACACUGACACUGAGGCACGAAAGCGUGGGGAGCAAACAGGAUUAGAUACCCCAGUAGUCCCUGUCUCUUAUAA
RNAcentral lists this ribosomal RNA (301 nucleotides) under uncultured bacterium. RNAcentral's name for it is "partial 16S ribosomal RNA". It matches the Rfam family "Bacterial small subunit ribosomal RNA", at positions 509 to 809 of the family's 1533-position model. The record is from RNAcentral.